GCCCGCCGCUUGGAGCCAGCGACACUGGCCAGUUUAUCUACUUGGAUGUCCUCCAGAGACAGCAACCAGCAGAAGCCCGGCAGUGUGGGAGGAGACACAACACAGGAGAAGAAUUACCAGAUGAGAAAUGAGCAGCCCAGAGAGGUUAAAUAACUUGCCCAAAUCACACACUUGAUGAGUUGUAGUGCUGGGGCUGGGACCCACGCAGCCUGACUCCAGAGCCUGAGACGUUAACAGCUAUGCUGCAUGGCAGAGCAAGGGAGAUGCUGACGACGCCAGUGUGCAUUGUGUGCUGUCUUAAUGGAUUCAAGGCAUCAGAUUUGCUAAGUGAGUUCAAAUGUAGAAAUGAUACCAAAGACUGGCUGUCUGGAGAAGCUGCUUCUGCUGCAGGCAAAGCUGGAAAGCCCACUGCUGGUCCUAAGCAAAUUCACAAAAGAGCUACAGUGGGUGUGAAGGAGAGGUCUCGGGAAUGUCAGAACCUACAAUGUCUGGGAUCUGAUCCGCAGACUUCAGGGCAGGCGCUGGCAUAUUCUGAGGAACGUAAGUGACAGACCGGCAUGUAAUUAGACCAUGGCCAAUGUGGAGGCAGCCCCAGACCAAAUCUGGUAAACCAACACUUGGAUUCAUUACAGAAGCUGAAACAUAAAAUGAAUCUGCUACAGGCCCAGGUUGAGACACCCCAUCUCAGGACUCGUUCCACAGCUUCUUGAAAUAGGAUCUACAACACCUCUACUUUCACAAGAUGGGGGUCUGGGAGGGCAGGGGGAACUGUGCAGUUGAACUUCAUCAUAAGAAUUCUCUUAUUAAGAUCUAAUUGGAUUACUCUUCCUAAUUAUACUGAAAAUAAAUGUAUUUAUUGUACUCCUGAGGUGCUGAAUGCAGACAAUUCAAAAGAAGAUAUUUUGCAAUAUUUAUUCUACCUAUCAUAAACAUGUCCUUCCUUUCUUUUCUUUU
Long non-coding RNA from Tupaia belangeri chinensis (Chinese tree shrew), 954 nucleotides. RefSeq lists it as uncharacterized. Lineage: Eukaryota; Metazoa; Chordata; Mammalia; Scandentia; Tupaiidae. The transcript is spliced from 5 exons. The record is from RefSeq and is a predicted model, not a curated record.